Molecule: non-coding RNA, 113 nt
Organism: Thermoanaerobacterium saccharolyticum JW/SL-YS485
Lineage: Bacteria; Bacillati; Bacillota; Clostridia; Thermoanaerobacterales; Thermoanaerobacteraceae
Source: Rfam
UGUUUAAAGUAGAAGCGCCCGCUUCUCACCUUUCACCGCAGGUGUCAGGUUUAAAUUUAAAUGUUGUUUUGGUCAAAAAAGAAGCGGGUUUAUACUCGCUUUAUUUUUUGUAA